UCGAGAAUCUUCCGCAAUGGACGAAAGUCUGACGGAGCGACGCCGCGUGAUGGAUGAAGUCCCUCUGGGACGUAAACAUCUUUUAUGAGGGAGAAAGUUUAUUGAUAGUACCUCACGAAUAAGGGGUUGCUAAACUCGUGCCAGCAGCAGCGGUAAUACGAGUGCCCCGAGCGUUAUCCGGAAUCAUUGGGCGUAAAGGGUGUGUAGGUGGCAUUGUUAGUCACACGUUAAACCCUGGGGCUUAACCCCAGAUCUGCGUGUGAUACGGCAAAGCUAGAGGAUGGCAGGGAUGUAUGGAACUCAUGGAGUAGGGGUGAAAUCCGUUGAUAUCAUGGGGAACACCGAAAGCGAAGGCAGUACAUUGGGCCACUCCUGACACUGAAACACGAAAGCGUGGGUAGCGAAUGGGAUUAGAUACCCCGGUAGUCCCUGAGCGGGCUGGCAAGGCGCAU
RNAcentral lists this ribosomal RNA (452 nucleotides) under uncultured bacterium. RNAcentral's name for it is "bacterial SSU rRNA". It matches the Rfam family "Bacterial small subunit ribosomal RNA", at positions 355 to 825 of the family's 1533-position model. The record is from RNAcentral.